CCGGGAUCUGGCAGAGGAGGGCAGGCCGAUACUCGGGUGAGCCUGUGAAAACAGCCGGCAUCUGCCCGGCGCGUCCGAGGGCCUCCAAAUAUGUGCACUCUGUCUGCAUUGCUAAUCAGGACCUCUGAGGAACCUAGUGAAGAAACAUUAAAAGAAAAUUCAAAUGUACUGGGAGUCAGACCCCGAAGACAUACAAGCCCAAAUUGAUGCGCACAUCAUGCUGUCAGCUCCAUGGGGUUUGCAAACAGCUGAGAAAUGACUCCGUCCCUCGUGAUUCUCCAAGACAUUGUCCAGUGGACUUCGUGGACACCAGCUGCCUCUAAACCCCCCUGUUAUUUACUGGAGGGUGCUCUGUAAAGAGGAAAGCACCUUGUUUUUUACUUUAUUCCACAAUUGUGGUCAUUUUUAUAUCACAGUGGUUCCCAAAGCACUUUACAGAGGAAUCUGAAUUCAUCUAUUAUUAUGGGAAAAAUACAGAAUUUCAGGGAACCGAAAUGAGAAAAUCCUUUGGCUGAAAUUAUUUAUUUUUUAUAAAGUCUCUCAGUAACAAAGACCCUAUCUGGGUGGUAAGUAGAUUCAAAACCAUGGGGAAAUGACCCAAAGAUUGCAUUUUGUUUUUACUCUUUUGUUAAUGCUCUCUGGGUCAGUUAGACAAAUGAGAAAAGUCAAUCAUAUUCAGAGUGGGGUAGUCUUUUACUUAGGGCUUGGACAACUAUUUUGCUGGAAAUAUAAAAACAUUAGAGAAUUGAGACAAAAUGUGAUUCCACAUAAAGAUAAGGGAAACAGAGAACGGUAAGAAUUCAUUGCCCUCUUUAGAAUCAGCUUAGAUUUGUGCCGAAUGUUGGUUUUGACUUUAUUGCUUUAAUCCUAAGGGCACCCUUACAAAUCAACAUUGACAUGUGUCCUUAAAAAAUAAUGGGUACCCAACUCUUAAUUACUUAAAUCAUAGUGCAGAAAGAAUUUUCUAGAACCAGCAGACCAAGGGACCAUUCAUAGAAGGAGAGCAGGAUGAACUGGACCUAGGGGGUGGGGAGGAAGCUAUCUAAAUUCCUGAUUGUUCCUUUUCUCAAAAUUCUUUCUGGCAAAGAUUUAAUUGCACCAAAUAUCUAUCAAUUUUAUGAUGGUAAGACUAUCAAACUUGUUUCAUUAAACAUUCUCUCUUCUCCUACAACUCUCUAAACAGGAUUUUCCCAUUUAGCACCCUAUCAAUCCAGAGUUCUGGUUGUACCAUAACUUCAAAGAUCCCUUGUAUCAAAUAUUAAUAUUUGUAUAGUUGUUAAAGUAUUUAAUGAUGUGUACAGGGACUCUAAAAUUAAAUAUAGCAUGUCAUUUAUAGUCUUUUAUAAAACUAUACAUGAAAAAUUA
Leopardus geoffroyi (Geoffroy's cat) is the source of this 1365-nucleotide long non-coding RNA. RefSeq lists it as uncharacterized. NCBI's taxonomy places the organism in Eukaryota, Metazoa, Chordata, Mammalia, Carnivora, Felidae. The record is from RefSeq and is a predicted model, not a curated record. The transcript is spliced from 2 exons.